UAAUGGUUGACCUCGGAUCAGGUAGGACUACCCGCUGAACUUAAGCAUAUCAAUAAGCGGAGGAA
Molecule: ribosomal RNA, 65 nt
Filed under: Monosporascus cannonballus
Lineage: Eukaryota; Fungi; Ascomycota; Sordariomycetes; Xylariales
Description: partial 28S ribosomal RNA
Rfam family: Eukaryotic large subunit ribosomal RNA (bases 8-65)
Source: RNAcentral